Molecule: ribosomal RNA, 253 nt
Filed under: uncultured bacterium
Lineage: Bacteria
Description: partial 16S ribosomal RNA
Rfam family: Bacterial small subunit ribosomal RNA
Source: RNAcentral
GACAGAGGCCCCAAGCGUUAGGCGGAAUCACUGGGCUUAAAGCGUGUGUAGGCGGAUCGUUAAGUGUCUUGUGAAAUCCCACGGCUCACCCGUGGAACUGCUGGGCAUACUGGCGAUCUUGGGCCAACUAGGGGCAGUCGGAACAAGCGGUGGAGCGGUGAAAUGCGUAGAUAUCGCGCGGAACGCCGAAGGUGAAAACAGACUGCUGGGGUUGCGCCGACGCUGAGACACGAAAGCCAGGGGAGCAAACGGG